UCACUCUAGCGAGACUGCCGGUGACAAACCGGAGGAAGGCGGGAACGACGUCAGAUCAUCAUGCCCCUUAUGACCUGGGCUACACACGUGCUACAAUGGCGUAUACAACGAGUUGCCAACCUGCGAAGGUGAGCUAAUCUCUUAAAGUACGUCUCAGUUCGGACUGCAGUCUGCAACUCGACUGCACGAAGUCGGAAUCGCUAGUAAUCGCGGAUCAGCACGCCGCGGUGAAUACGUUCCCGGGUCUUGUACACACCGCCCGUCACACCAUGGAAGUUUGUAAUGCCCAAAGCCGGUGGCCUAACCGUAAGGAGGGAACCGUCUAAGGCAGGACAGAUGACUGGGGUGAAGUCGUAACAAGGUAACCGUAA
This 371-nucleotide ribosomal RNA is filed under the name uncultured bacterium. RNAcentral describes it as "bacterial SSU rRNA". It matches the Rfam family "Bacterial small subunit ribosomal RNA", at positions 1135 to 1505 of the family's 1533-position model. The record is from RNAcentral.